Molecule: ribosomal RNA, 497 nt
Filed under: uncultured bacterium
Lineage: Bacteria
Description: partial 16S ribosomal RNA
Rfam family: Bacterial small subunit ribosomal RNA
Source: RNAcentral
GAUGAACGCUGGCGGCGUGCCUAAUACAUGCAAGUCGAGCGAACAGACGAGGAGCUUGCUCCUUUGACGUUAGCGGCGGACGGGUGAGUAACACGUAGGUAACCUACCUAUAAGACUGGGAUAACUUCGGGACACCGGAGCUAAUACCGGAUAAUAUUUCGAACCGCAUGGUUCGAUAGUGAAAGAUGGCUUUGCUAUCACUUAUAGAUGGACUUGCGCCGUAUUAGCUAGUUGGUAAGGUAACGGCUUACCAAGGCAACGAUACGUAGCCGACCUGAGAGGGUGAUAGGCCACACUGGAACUGAGACGCGGACCAGACUCCUACGGGAGGCAGCAGUAGGGAAUCUUCCGCAAUGGGCGAAAGCAUGACGGAGCAACGCGGAGUGAGUGAUGAAGGUCUUCGGAUCGUAAAACUCGGUUAUUAGGGAAGAACAAACGUGUAAGUAAAUGUGCACGGCGUGACGGUACCUAAUCAGAAAGCCACGGCUAACUACGUG